GACGAACGCUGGCGGCGUGCUUAACACAUGCAAGUCGAACGGAAAGGCCCUGCUUGCAGGGUACUCGAGUGGCGAACGGGUGAGUAACACGUGGGUGAUCUGCCCUGCACUUCGGGAUAAGCCUGGGAAACUGGGUCUAAUACCGGAUAGGAGCCAUUUUUAGUGUGAUGGUUGGAAAGUUUUUUCGGUGUAGGAUGAGCUCGCGGCCUAUCAGCUUGUUGGUGGGGUAAUGGCCUACCAAGGCGGCGGCGGGUAGCCGGCCUGAGAGGGUGGACGGCCACCUUGGGGCUGAGAUACGGCCCAGACUCCUACGGGAGGCAGCAGUGGGGAAUAUUGCACAAUGGGCGCAAGCCGGAUGCAGCGACGCCGCGUGGGGGAUGACGGCCUUCGGGUUGUAAACUCCUUUCGCUAGGGACGAAGCUUUUUGUGACGGUACCUAGAUAAGAAGCACCGGCUAACUACGUG
This 465-nucleotide ribosomal RNA is filed under the name uncultured bacterium. RNAcentral describes it as "partial 16S ribosomal RNA". It matches the Rfam family "Bacterial small subunit ribosomal RNA", at positions 28 to 507 of the family's 1533-position model. The record is from RNAcentral.